GACGAACGCUGGCGGCGCUGCUUAACACAUGCAAGUCGAACGGAAAGGCCCUGCUUUUGUGGGGUGCUCGAGUGGCGAACGGGUGAGUAACACGUGAGUAACCUGCCCUUGACUUUGGGAUAACUUCAGGAAACUGGGGCUAAUACCGGAUAGGAGCUCCUGCUGCAUGGUGGGGGUUGGAAAGUUUCGGCGGUUGGGGAUGGACUCGCGGCUUAUCAGCUUGUAGGUGGGGUAGUGGCUUACCAAGGCUUUGACGGGUAGCCGGCCUGAGAGGGUGACCGGCCACAUUGGGACUGAGAUACGGCCCAGACUCCUACGGGAGGCAGCAGUGGGGAAUAUUGCACAAUGGGCGGAAGCCUGAUGCAGCAACGCCGCGUGCGGGAUGACGGCCUUCGGGUUGUAAACCGCUUUCGCCUGUGACGAAGCGUGAGUGACGGUAAUGGGUAAAGAAGCACCGGCUAACUACGUGCCAGCAGCCGCGGUGAUACGUAGGGUGCGAGCGUUGUCCGGAUUUAUUGGGCGUAAAGGGCUCGUAGGUGGUUGAUCGCGUCGGAAGUGUAAUCUUGGGGCUUAACCCUGAGCGUGCUUUCGAUACGGGUUGACUUGAGGAAGGUAGGGGAGAAUGGAAUUCCUGGUGGAGCGGUGGAAUGCGCAGAUAUCAGGAGGAACACCAGUGGCGAAGGCGGUUCUCUGGGCCUUUCCUGACGCUGAGGGGCGAAAGCGUGGGGAGCGAACAGGCUUAGAUACCCUGGUAGUCCACGCUGUAAACGGUGGGUACUAGGUGUGGGGUCCAUUCCACGGGUUCCGUGCCGUAGCUAACGCUUUAAGUACCCCGCCUGGGGAGUACGGCCGCAAGGCUAAAACUCAAAGGAAUUGACGGGGCCCCGCACAAGCGGCGGAGCAUGCGGAUUAAUUCGAUGCAACGCGUAGAACCUUACCUGGGUUUGACAUGGAUCGGGAGUGCUCAGAGAUGGGUGUGCCUCUUUUGGGGUCGGUUCACAGGUGGUGCAUGGCUGUCGUCAGCUCGUGUCGUGAGAUGUUGGGUUAAGUCCCGCAACGAGCGCAACCCUUGUUCACUGUUGCCAGCACGUUAUGGUGGGGACUCAGUGGAGACCGCCGGGGUCAACUCGGAGGAAGGUGGGGAUGACGUCAAGUCAUCAUGCCCCUUAUGUCCAGGGCUUCACGCAUGCUACAAUGGCUGGUACAGAGAGUGGCGAGCCUGUGAGGGUGAGCGAAUCUCGGAAAGCCGGUCUCAGUUCGGAUUGGGGUCUGCAACUCGACCUCAUGAAGUCGGAGUCGCUAGUAAUCGCAGAUCAGCAACGCUGCGGUGAAUACGUUCCCGGGGCU
Molecule: ribosomal RNA, 1347 nt
Filed under: uncultured bacterium
Lineage: Bacteria
Description: partial 16S ribosomal RNA
Rfam family: Bacterial small subunit ribosomal RNA
Source: RNAcentral